Molecule: ribosomal RNA, 253 nt
Filed under: uncultured bacterium
Lineage: Bacteria
Description: partial 16S ribosomal RNA
Rfam family: Bacterial small subunit ribosomal RNA
Source: RNAcentral
UACGUAGGGACCGAGCGUUAUCCGGAAUCAUUGGGCGUAAAGAGCGUGUAGGCGGCCACUUAAGUCCUGCGUGAAAUCUUGCGGCUCAACCGCAAGCGGUCGUGGGAAACUGGGUGGCUAGAGUGCGGGAGAGGAGAGUGGAAUUCCUGGUGUAGCGGUGAAAUGCGCAGAUAUCAGGAGGAACACCGGUGGCGAAGGCGGAUCUCUGGGCCGAUACUGACGCUGAGGAGCGAAAGCGUGGGGAGCGAACAGG